RNAcentral lists this non-coding RNA (382 nucleotides) under Acetobacterium wieringae. RNAcentral's name for it is "T-box sequence". It matches the Rfam family "T-box leader". Rfam says of the family: Uncharged tRNA acts as the effector for transcription antitermination of genes in the T-box leader family. T-boxes are found upstream of many aminoacyl-tRNA synthetase genes and some amino acid biosynthetic genes usually in Gram-positive bacteria. The record is from RNAcentral. Lineage: Bacteria; Bacillati; Bacillota; Clostridia; Eubacteriales; Eubacteriaceae.
AAAAAGACGUUGAUGCGGAAUAGUAGUUGUUGGAUGAUUUGCAGAGAUCUGCUGGGUGGUGUGAAGCAGAAAUCAGAAGAUGAUGAACUCACCUCGGAGUUGCUUGCUGAAACAGUGCUGAAAAAUCAGCAAAAAGUAGGUUAAGACGGAAGCCCACCGUUACAGGGGAUGGAUAUCGGUUUUAUUAAGCCCGUAUUGAAGAUUUAUAAAAAGAGUGGUAUAGCAGAUUUUUCGUCUGUCUCGUUUGAGACAGGCGUUUUUUUAUACACUAAUUUUAGACGAAAAAGAAUCUUCAGGGGCAGUAAAGGGUAUCGAUAAAGUGCAUGCAGUCUUCUGUGUGAAUAAGAGUGGUACCGCGGAAAGCUCCCUUUUCGUCUCUGAU